This 525-nucleotide ribosomal RNA is filed under the name Salmonella enterica subsp. enterica serovar Muenster. Its description in RNAcentral is "partial 23S ribosomal RNA". It matches the Rfam family "Bacterial large subunit ribosomal RNA", at positions 667 to 1190 of the family's 2925-position model. The record is from RNAcentral. Lineage: Bacteria; Pseudomonadati; Pseudomonadota; Gammaproteobacteria; Enterobacterales; Enterobacteriaceae.
CGGAGGGAAACCGAGUCUUAAUUGGGCGUUAAGUUGCAGGGUAUAGACCCGAAACCCGGUGAUCUAGCCAUGGGCAGGUUGAAGGUUGGGUAACACUAACUGGAGGACCGAACCGACUAAUGUUGAAAAAUUAGCGGAUGACCUGUGGCUGGGGGUGAAAGGCCAAUCAAACCGGGAGAUAGCUGGUUCUCCCCGAAAGCUAUUUAGGUAGCGCCUCGUGAACUCAUCUCCGGGGGUAGAGCACUGUUUCGGCUAGGGGGCCAUCCCGGCUUACCAACCCGAUGCAAACUGCGAAUACCGGAGAAUGUUAUCACGGGAGACACACGGCGGGUGCUAACGUCCGUCGUGAAGAGGGAAACAACCCAGACCGCCAGCUAAGGUCCCAAAGUCAUGGUUAAGUGGGAAACGAUGUGGGAAGGCCCAGACAGCCAGGAUGUUGGCUUAGAAGCAGCCAUCAUUUAAAGAAAGCGUAAUAGCUCACUGGUCGAGUCGGCCUGCGCGGAAGAUGUAACGGGGCUAAACCAU